ACACGACUACAUUAGAUACCCUGUAGUCCUAGCCGUAAACGAUACUCGCUAGGUGUCGGCCACGGUGCGACCGUUGUCGGUGCCGUAGGGAAGCCGUGAAGCGAGCCACCUGGGAAGUACGGCCGCAAGGCUGAAACUUAAAGGAAUUGGCGGGGGAGCACCACAACGGGUGGAGCUUGCGGUUUAAUUGGAUUCAACGCCGGAAAUCUUACCGGGACCGACAGCAACAUGAAGGCCAGGCUGAAGACUUUGCCGGAUUAGCUG
RNAcentral lists this ribosomal RNA (264 nucleotides) under uncultured archaeon. Its description in RNAcentral is "partial 16S ribosomal RNA". It matches the Rfam family "Archaeal small subunit ribosomal RNA", at positions 717 to 982 of the family's 1478-position model. The record is from RNAcentral.